GCUGUUCCGCAGGCAGAGAGAAGGUGCAGAGAGGCGAGACAGAGCGGGCCUGGCCAUGUGGAGGGCCCUGUGCGUGGCCUUAUUGCCCAUUGUAGUCACUGGACAGGUGGCCUUGGAGCAGCACCCCAGGGAACUGACCGUGCGAAUGGGAGAUCACGUCACCUUCCAGUGCAGCAUGAAAGUAGGUUAUAUGAGCAGCUACUACAUGUACUGGUACCGCCAGGGCCCAAAGAGCACUCUGGAAUGGAUUUACAGGGAGGGUGAUAUCUAUGGAGAAGGUUUCCAAGAUCGCUUUGUGGGAAAAGUGCAGAGCUCCAUGAACAGAUUCACACUGCACAUCCUGUCAACAAAGCAAGGGGAUGCAGCAACAUAUUACUGUGGAGCAGAACCACCCUGGAGCAGCUCUGCAGCAGAGUGGACCAAAAACCAACAGAUGGGGAAGACAGAUCUCUCAGCAUUUCUUUCUAGCAGCUGCUCCCCAGGGCUCUUGUCAGGCAGUGCAGGGAGGGUGGUAGAAGGGCUGGUAGCAUUUGUGGUGCAGGAGGAUCUCUUCUGGGAACUGCAGAGGCAGUCAGUUCAUAACACAUUUUGUCUGCCACUUCUUCCUUCCCAUGCCCUUCCCCUGCUCCAGAGUGUGAAGUCCAGCCCACAGGAGACAUUUCUCCCGGAAUUUUUCACCUUUGGUUCUUCGCAUUGAGUGCAGUUCUUCACAAACUCCUCCAGUGUGGGUCUACAGUUCCCAGUGCAGUCCUUCAGGAACAGACUGCUUCAGUGUGGGUCCCUGCAGGUUCUCCCAGAAAACCUGCUAUGACAUGGGCUACUUAUUCCAUGAGACCGCAGUUCCUGUCAGGAGCCUGCUCCAACGUGAGCUCUGCAUGGAGUCACAGACAUUUUCAGGACGUACCCAGCUGCUUCUGUGUGGGGAACUCUAUGGGCUGCAGGGCCAAUAUCUGCUCCACCAUCAGUUGACAUCACCUGCAUCACCAUGGGCUUCACCGUGGGCAGCAGGGUUAUCUCUGCUCUGGCCUCUGCAGCAGCUCCUGGCCCUCCUUCCUCAGGGACACUCAGCACGGCUUUGGGAAGUGGGAGUCAUGCUUAGCUGCAUUUACAGCCUUCUACUGUGAGACACAGGGUCUUGGUGGGUGAGGAGAGAGUGGAUGUUGUGCAUUCUUCAUUCAGUUGUGCUCUCAGCACUGACUUCCCUGGAAACCGUCUGGACAAAAUCCUUUGUUAUGGACUAGAAAACAGCUCAGUUACAAGGACUUUUCAAGGGCAGAUACUCCAUGCUCCAGCCUCUCCCCUUGGACUGCUGGAAAUGGAAUUCCUGAAGGCUGAUCUGGCUGCUGAAGCCUGAGGUGAAUAAAGCAUUCAGGACCUCAGCCUUUCCCAUAUCCUGUGUCACCUGGUCCCCAUCCCAUUCGGCAGUGGCCCCACAUUUUCCCCAGCCUCGUUUGUCCGUGCAGCCUCCUGGCACGUU
Non-coding RNA from Corvus hawaiiensis (hawaiian crow), 1477 nucleotides. The record is from the annotation of a RefSeq genome assembly. NCBI's taxonomy places the organism in Eukaryota, Metazoa, Chordata, Aves, Passeriformes, Corvidae.